CGAGCGGACCGACGGGAGCUUGCUCCCUUAGGUCAGCGGCGGACGGGUGAGUAACACGUGGGUAACCUGCCUGUAAGACUGGGAUAACUCCGGGAAACCGGGGCUAAUACCGGAUGCUUGAUUGAACCGCAUGGUUCAAUCAUAAAAGGUGGCUUUUAGCUACCACUUACAGAUGGACCCGCGGCGCAUUAGCUAGUUGGUGAGGUAACGGCUCACCAAGGCGACGAUGCGUAGCCGACCUGAGAGGGUGAUCGGCCACACUGGGACUGAGACACGGCCCAGACUCCUACGGGAGGCAGCAGUAGGGAAUCUUCCGCAAUGGACGAAAGUCUGACGGAGCAACGCCGCGUGAGUGAUGAAGGUUUUCGGAUCGUAAAACUCUGUUGUUAGGGAAGAACAAGUACCGUUCGAAUAGGGCGGCACCUUGACGGUACCUAACCAGAAAGCCACGGCUAACUACGUGCCAGCAGCCGCGGUAAUACGUAGGUGGCAAGCGUUGUCCGGAAUUAUUGGGCGUAAAGCGCGCGCAGGCGGUUUCUUAAGUCUGAUGUGAAAGCCCCCGGCUCAACCGGGGAGGGUCAUUGGAAACUGGGGGAACUUGAGUGCAGAAGAGGAGAGUGGAAUUCCGCGUGGGAGCGGU
RNAcentral lists this ribosomal RNA (640 nucleotides) under uncultured Bacillus sp. RNAcentral's name for it is "bacterial SSU rRNA". It matches the Rfam family "Bacterial small subunit ribosomal RNA", at positions 63 to 682 of the family's 1533-position model. Lineage: Bacteria; Bacillati; Bacillota; Bacilli; Caryophanales; Bacillaceae. The record is from RNAcentral.